Molecule: long non-coding RNA, 628 nt
Organism: Folsomia candida
Lineage: Eukaryota; Metazoa; Arthropoda; Collembola; Entomobryomorpha; Isotomidae
Exons: 4
Source: RefSeq, a predicted model, not a curated record
AGACGAAAUUCGGUAUCCAAACUCAUUAUUCUCUUUACAAAGUUGUCCAUUUUACUAACACAGCACUGGUAAAACGUACCAAUGGCUAAGCUAGCUUUUGUAACAAUUUUUGUGUGUUGCAUGGUCAUAAUUUGCAUGAUGCAGCCUGAGGUGUCGGCGGUGCAGCAAUGUUGGGGACGAGGACAAGGUUGUCGGCUAGGACCGUGUUCGAGGAACGGCCCUUGGCCCUGCUGCUGUUCUGGAUAUUGUGCACCUGACAGAUAUUACAAAUCAGGGUGGGGAUUCUGUACUUGACCAGAUUCACGCUCCAGCAAUAACUGCAAACUUUAUUUCGAAAUGUACAUUUACAACGGUUAGAUAAAAAUCAACCAAAAACGGCAUUAAAUUUCACAUGUAUAUGUAACUAACUGGUUUGAUUUACACGAUACUAGUAGCUAUCAAUCACUCAUAUAAGUCUGAUAAUGUUGAGUCUCAUGAAUACUGAUUUUACAAAGUUUUUGGAUUCCAUACUUGCUUCGCCAGAUUCAUACAAAUUCGCCGCACAUUAUCAAUGAUGUUGAUAUUAAACCAACGCAAGGAAUAAGACAACGCGGAAGCCUUACCACUACCUUUAGCAUAGGAUGAACAC